AGAAGAAGAAGAAGAAGAAGAAGAAGAAGAAGAAGAAGAGAUAUAGUAUAGAAAGAGAUAUCAUAAACCGUCAGCUUCCAUCAGAAAGAAGAAGAGAGAAAGAAAGAUAGAGAGUACUCACCGGCGACGAUUACGAAGAGGAACAAUAUCCACGUAUCCAUGAGUCUGCCGGCAGUGAAGCGUAGUUGGAAGCCGCCGGAGGUGGCGGAAGAUGACGAAAAGGAGGAGGUGGUAGCAGUGCCGGUGGCGAAGCCAAUGGUGGUAAUGGUGUUGGUUGUGUCGGUGUCGAUCGUGUUGGUAUUAGUAA
This is a long non-coding RNA of Vespula pensylvanica (western yellowjacket), 307 nucleotides long. RefSeq lists it as uncharacterized. The record is from RefSeq and is a predicted model, not a curated record. NCBI's taxonomy places the organism in Eukaryota, Metazoa, Arthropoda, Insecta, Hymenoptera, Vespidae. The transcript is spliced from 2 exons.